AAAACAUUUUUAUUUGCUUUUCUUAGUUCUGGAAUUGUAUUUUAUUUUGGCGGAGAAGCUUUUAUUUUCUUGUUUCCUGUUUCUACGUCAUAUCCUGUGUGUUCGCGCUGCCCUCUUCAGUUCGCGCCAAGUUGCGCUGGGGAGAGGUGUGCGUGGGAAAGCCAGAGCCCAAGAACUGUGCUGACUGUAAUCUUGUUUUAAACAGGAAUAAAACAACGCAGAGCUGAUUCCAGAGUGAUUC
Molecule: long non-coding RNA, 241 nt
Organism: Fundulus heteroclitus (mummichog)
Lineage: Eukaryota; Metazoa; Chordata; Actinopteri; Cyprinodontiformes; Fundulidae
Exons: 3
Source: RefSeq, a predicted model, not a curated record